AACGCGAAGAACCUUACCGGGGCUUGACAUCCUGCGCUAUCCUAGGAGACUAGGUUUCCGGGCAACCGGACGCAGAGACAGGUGCUGCAUGGCUGUCGUCAGCUCGUGCCGUGAGGUGUUGGGUUAAGUCCCGCAACGAGCGCAACCCUUGCCGUGUGUUGGUCGCAAGAUCUCUCACGCGGGACCGCCGGUGACAAGCCGGAGGAAGGUGGGGAUGACGUCAAGUCAGCAUGGCCCUUACGUCCCGGGCUACACACGUGCUACAAUGGGAGGGACAACGAGUCGCGAACCCGCGAGGGCAAGCUAAUCUCACAAACCCUCUCUCAGUUCGGAUUGAAGGCUGCAACUCGCCUUCAUGAAGUCGGAAUCGCUAGUAAUGCUAUAUCAGAACGAUAGCGUGAAUACGUUCCCGGGCCUUGUACACACCGACUGUAC
RNAcentral lists this ribosomal RNA (435 nucleotides) under uncultured bacterium. Its description in RNAcentral is "bacterial SSU rRNA". It matches the Rfam family "Bacterial small subunit ribosomal RNA", at positions 958 to 1399 of the family's 1533-position model. The record is from RNAcentral.